UCCUCAUGUUGCAAAAAACGGAGGAUGACUCGGUCGGGUCUUUCCCCUAUCAGGUCUCGUAGGGAGUGUAUUGAACUCUCUAGCCUUUGACGGGUAACGGAGAAUUAGGGUUCGAUUCCGGAGAAGGAGCCUGAGAGAUGGCUACUACAUCUAAGGAAGGCAGCAGGCGCGUAAAUUUCCCAAUGUUCAUUGAACGAGGAAGUGACGAUCAAUAAUAAUGUGCGUGUUUUAAACAUGUGCAAUUAGAAUGAAAACAAGUUAAAAAUCUUAUUGACAUCAAUUGGAGGGCAAGUCUGGUGCCAGCAGCCGCGGUAAUUCCAGCUCCAAUAGGAUAUAUCAAAGUUGUUGCAGUUGAAAAGCUCGUAGUCGUAUUUCUGGUGGGUUGAUGCUGUCAAUGAUUCUAAUGAAAGUUGGAAUUUUUUGAUGGCCGCCUGCCAUUUUGUGGAACAAUGUGGUUAGACUGUGGUUUACUCUAUGGUUUAAUUGCACCACUCAGUCACUGAGAGCAAAUUGGAGUGCUCAAAGCAGGCUUUACAGCUUUGAACAUCUUAGCUUGGAAUGACAAAGUAUGACUUUUUGUUCACUUUGUUGGUUAUGAAUAUUAAGUAAUGAUAAAUAGGAACAGUUGCGGGGGUACUCGUACUGGAAAGUCAGAGGUGAAAUUCUUGGAUUUUUCCACGACGAACGACUGCGAAAGCAUUUACCAAGGAUGUUUUCAUUGAUCAAGAACGAAAGUGCGAGGAUCGAAGAUGAUUAGAUACCAUCGUAGUUCGCACAGUAAACGAUGCCGACUCGGGAUUGUCUUUUUUUCGUUUUAUAGAAGGAUGACAGCACCGUAUGUGAAAACAAAGUCUUUGGGUUCCGGGGGGAGUAUGGUCGCAAGGUUGAAACUUAAAGGAAUUGACGGAAGGGCACACCAGAGGUGGAGCCUGCGGUUUAAUUUGACCCAACACGGGGAAACUCACCAGGUCCAGACAUGAGAAGGAUUGACAGUUUGAAAGCACUUUCUUGAUUUCAUGGUUGGUGGUGCAUGGCCGUUCUUAGUUGGUGGAGUGAUUUGUCUGGUUGAUUCCGAUAACGAACGAGACUCUCAGAUUAAACUGGUCAAGAGAAUAAUUCACGUUAUUCUCGGCCUCUUUUAUCGACUAUUCGUUUUAAACGAAAGGAAGCGGAGAGCAAUAACAGGUCUGUGAUGCCCCUCGAUGUUCUGGGCUACACGCGCGCUACAAUGACGAGUUCAACGAGUUGUUUUUUCCUUGCCCGGAAGGGUGUGGGUAAUCUUUUCAAUGCUCGUCGUGAUGGGGCUAGAUUUUUGCAAUUAUUAAUCUUCAACGAGGAAUCUCUAGUAUGUGCAGUUCAUCAGACUGCGCAGAAUGCGUCCCUGCCCUUUGUACACACCGCCCGUCGCACCUACCGAUUGGACGAUCCGGCAAGAUGUUUGGAGUUGUGUUUAUUUUGUUUUCGGACAAUGUGAAUGCGACGAAGCUCUUCAAACCUUAUCGCCUGCGGAAGGAUCAUCG
This 1520-nucleotide ribosomal RNA is filed under the name metagenome. RNAcentral's name for it is "SSU rRNA". It matches the Rfam family "Eukaryotic small subunit ribosomal RNA", at positions 260 to 1791 of the family's 1831-position model. The record is from RNAcentral.